RNAcentral lists this ribosomal RNA (2927 nucleotides) under bioreactor metagenome. RNAcentral's name for it is "bacterial LSU rRNA". It matches the Rfam family "Bacterial large subunit ribosomal RNA". The record is from RNAcentral.
UCAAGUUACUAAGGGUGUAUGGGGGAUGUCUAGGCGUCGAGAGGCGAAGAAGGACGUGGCAGGCUGCGAUAAGCCCGGGGCAAGUGCCGAGCAACUGUUAAUCCCGGGAUCUCCGAAUGGGGCAACCCGUUGGGACUGGGCAACCAGAUCCCAUCACCUGCGGCUGAAUGCAUAGGCCGUAUGGGGCGAACGCAGGGAACUGAUACAUCUCAGUACCUGUAGGAAGAGAAAUCAACCGAGACUCCGUCAGUAGCGGCGAGCGAAAGCGGAUCAGCCCAAACCAGGGGGCUUGCUCCCUGGGGUUGCGGGCGCCAACAUCAGCAGAAGGACGGUUAGCUGAACGGUCUGGAAAGUCCGACCACAGAAGGUGAUGGUCCUGUAGGCGAAAACCCGAAUUCUGUGUUGGCGUACCAGAGUAGCACGGAGCUCGUGGAACUCUGUGUGAAGCUGGGGGGCCCACCCUCCAAGGCUAAGUACUCCUCGACGACCGAUAGUGGAAAGUAGCGCGAGCGAACGAUGAAAAGGACCCCUAUUAGGGGAGUUAAAAGAACCUGAAACCAUACACCUACAAGCUGUGGGAGCCCUAUGACGUUCCUUCGGGGGCGUAACGGGUGACCGCGUGCCUUUUGCAUAAUGAGCCGGCGAGUUACCGUUUGCGGCAAGGCUAAGCAUCUCCGGUGCGGAGCCGUAGCGAAAGCGAGUCUUAACAGGGCGAAUCAGUCGCAGGUGGUAGACGCGAAGCCAGGUGAUCUACCCAUGGCCAGGUUGAAAGGGAUGUAAAAAUCCCUGGAGGACCGAACUCACUAACGUUGAAAAGUUAGGGGAUGAGCUGUGGGGAGGAGUAAAAGUCUAAUCAAACCUGGAGAUAUCUCGUUCUCUCCGAAAUAGCUUUUGGGCUAGCCUUGAGCCACUCCUUUGCGGGGGUAGAGCUACUGAAUGGGGAUAGGGGACCACCAGUCUACCUACCCCAACCAAACUCCGAAUACCGCAAAGACUAUCUCAGGAGUCAGACGGCGAGCGAUAACGUCCGUCGUCAAGAGGGAAACAACCCAGAUCGCCAGCUAAGGUCCCGAAGUUGGGCUAAGUUCAUAAGGAAGUUGAAUUGCUGUGACAGCCAGGAUGUUGGCUUAGAAGCAGCCACCAUUUAAAAAGUGCGUAAUAGCUUACUGGUCGAGCAGUUUGGCGCCGAUAAUGAACGGGAAUAAGCCGAACACCGAAGCUGCGGAUUGGUCGGUCGAUGCGUCGACCUUCCAGUGGUAGGAGAGCGUAGCAGUCAGCAUUGAAGCGGUACGGUAACGAGCCGUGGAGCGGCUGCUAGUGAUUAUGCCGGCAUGAGUAACGAUAAAACAGGUGAGAAUCCUGUUCGCCGAAAGCCUAAGGUUUCCUGGGGAAGGGACAUCCGCCCAGGGUUAGUCGGCCCCUUAGUUGAGGCUGAAAGGCGUAGACGAUGGGCAGCAGGUUAAUAUUCCUGCACCAUGUCACCGGACGAAGGUCGUGACGCAUCUUCCAAGAGUAUCCCGUGAGUAGUCGUGCGGGUCCCGCAAGGGCGAGGUCAAAUUAGGAUACCGAAGUACUUGGCGAGGAUGCCGAGAAACAGCGGCUGUAGGUUGAAGGUGGCGUGACCGUACUAAAACUGACACAGGUAGGCGAGGAGAAUAUCCUCAGGCGCUCGAGAGAACGGUCCUUAAGGAACUAGGCAAAUUGACCCCGUAAGUUCGCGAUAAGGGGACCCUCCAGACACGUUUAAUUCAUUAGAUGUGGGCUGAGGGCACAGAAAAGUGGCUCUAGCGACUGUUUAUCAAAAACACAGUUCUCUGCUAACUCGCAAAGAGGAUGUAUAGAGAAUGACGCCUGCUCGGUGCCGGAAGGUUAAGUGGAAGGGUUAGCUCCUUCGGGGGCGAAGCUCCUAAAUGAAGCCCCGGUAAACGGCGGCCGUAACUAUGACGGUCCUAAGGUAGCGAAGUUCCUUGUCGGGUAAGUUCCGACGUGCAUGAACGGCGUAACGACUGGAGCACUGUCUCAAGGACCGACUCGGUGAAAUUGUACUUGUGGUGAAGAUACCACAUACCCGCGGCAAGACGGAAAGACCCCGUGAACCUUUACUGUAUCCUGGUAUUGAUGCCUGGCAUGGCUUGCGUAGGAUAGGUGGGAGGCGUUGAAGUUCGGAUCUCGGUCCGGACGGAGCCAACCUUGAAAUACCACCCUUGGCAUGUUAGUCACCUAACCGUGACCCGUGAAUCCGGGCAUGGGACAGUGCUAGGUGGGCAGUUUGACUGGGGCGGUCUCCUCCAAAAAGGUAACGGAGGAGUUCAAAGGUACACUCAGCGUGGUUGGCAAUCACGUUUAGAGCGCAAGGGUACAAGUGUGCUUAACUGCGAGACCGAUUGGUCGAGCAGGUGCGAAAGCAGGACCUAGUGAUCCGGCGAUCCCGUGUGGAAGGGUCGUCGCUCAACAGAUAAAAGGUACUCCGGGGAUAACAGGCUGAUCUCCACCGAGCGUUCAUAGCGGCGUGGAGGUUUGGCACAUCGAUGUCGGCUCAUCACAUCCUGGGGCUGAAGGCGGUCCCAAGGGUUGGGCUGUUCGCCCAUUAAAGUGGUACGCGAGCUGGGUUCAGACCGGCGUGAGCCAGGUCGGUCCCUAUCUGCCGUGGGCGUAGGAAUCUUGAGGGGAUAUUUCCUUAGUACGAGAGGAUUAGGAAGUACUGACCGCUGGUGUACCGGUUGUGCCGCUAGGUGCAGCGCCGGGUAGCUAUGUCGGGAAAGGAUAACCGCUGAAGGCAUCUAAGCGGGAAGCCCACCCCAAGACGAGGAUUCCAUUCCAGCUUCGGCUGGAGGAGAGCCCUGGAAGACCACCAGGUUAAUAGGCCGGAUGUGUAAGACGCGAAAUCGUCUCAGCUAACCGGUACUAACGCUCGAUCACUUGACCAU